GAUGCCUACAUGAUUUCUUUACAGAAAGUGGAUGUACUUCUCAGUAGGUUUAAGCAAACCGAAAUCAACUAGCCACCAAUGCGCGCACUCGAAUACGUAUCCAAUGAUGUCAUUUUAGAUAUGUCUCGAUUAAGCAUCCGAUUCAGCACCAUCUCCCAACAGGCCACCAGUCCAUUUUUAUUCCCUUCGCUCAUGUGCAAUCACAUCUCUGUUCACCUUAUAUCUGCUUCUGUAGGAUUCUAAUUCCGUGUUACAAUUACGAGCUUCGACUAUAAAUUGGUUGAAUCGUAGUAGAGCUAACACUUGAGUCCAGACGGGAAGCAAAUACUUUAGUGUAUAAGAUUAACAAAAUCGAAAUGGCAUCACUCAAGGCCGAGAAACCCGUUGGCACUCAACCCUCUGCCGGGCAAGCCAAGAAAGAGCCUGCACAGAAAGCUAGUGGUACCACGCCCAAAGCUCCGGCCUCCAAACCCGCCCCUAAGAAGGCUGAGACAAAGCCUAGGGAACCUAGGAAGAAGACAACAGGAAGCAAGCCUGCAGCCAAGAAUUAGACUAAAGCAACGGCGUUAGGCGAGGAGUGCAUGAAGAUUCUAAAUCACUGUGGUCUUCCAUAGUUCAUAUAUUCUGAUAAUACUAUGUAUCUCCUUUUAGGCUUGGCCUAAUAAAUAAAAUAUACCGUUAUUUUAGAGGAA
Pyrus x bretschneideri (Chinese white pear) is the source of this 692-nucleotide long non-coding RNA. RefSeq lists it as uncharacterized. NCBI's taxonomy places the organism in Eukaryota, Viridiplantae, Streptophyta, Magnoliopsida, Rosales, Rosaceae. The record is from RefSeq and is a predicted model, not a curated record. The transcript has 2 exons.